RNAcentral lists this long non-coding RNA (246 nucleotides) under Gorilla gorilla gorilla (western lowland gorilla). RNAcentral describes it as "lncRNA (ENSGGOG00000044302.1)". The record is from RNAcentral. Lineage: Eukaryota; Metazoa; Chordata; Mammalia; Primates; Hominidae.
UUUUGAUACUCUGUUCUAAUUUACUAAGAAGAGUCACCAAUUUUGUUUCUGUGGUUUGUGACCUGAGAAGCUACAUAUUGACAUGGCGCUACCACGGGUGGAGGAGCGUGCAUUGCUGAAUCACAGGAUGAAGGCGAAUCCCUGCCAGCCUCCAUCCAUCUCUCGAAGAAAAUUUUGCUCAUUUUAGUGAUCAUCAUAAUUAUAUGGCAAAAGAGAACAAACCACAUCUUAAAAACAUAACAGCAC